AAGGCUGUACAAAAUAACAGCAAUGGCGUGAAGCCCAAACAAGAACCAAUCAAAAUUAGGUCCAAAAAUACUCCACUUUACGUCUUCUUCAAUCUUCUUACAAGCCCAUUGAGGUUGUUGCCGCGAUCUCUUCUUCUUCUUCCUCCUCUUCGCGCCGCUAGGUUUUACCAAAUUCAAAGCAAAGUGAAUGAAGGUUUUUCGGGCAAAUAUGAAAACGCGUGCCACCUUUGACUGUUAAUUAGAAAGGGAUACAUCCAUGAGAAAAUGCAUUCAACAGCUUCUUCUUCUUCCUCUUCGUCGUCUUCCUAUUCUAUUAUUCAGCGUCUUCGCUCUUUAGCGUCUUCAAAGCUACGUUUCUUUACCUUUAUUUCCCUAUAUCUCCAUGUCCAGAUUUUUGACAUUUGCCAAUAUUAGGAAAGCUGCACAAUAUGCUAUUUCGAAUCCAACAACGAGCCAUUCGGAAUUUAGGAAGUAUGGAACAGUUGUUACUAUCGGGUUGCGGUUGCCGCAGUAUAGAGUGUACUCCCACUAUAGGUUCAACAUUGGAGGAAAGGCUCCAUGGGUAUUGCAGAAUACCAAGGAAGGGAUAUCCCGAGGUUAUUUUGCCUGGAACCAUUCAUUCCUUUCCGCGAGUAGUGCAGUGACUCAUCAUGCACAAGUUGCUUGGAAAAAGUUCACCCGUAAAUGUUCUUCGAGUUGUCAUCCAUUCCCUUACAUAAGGAUGGCUCAAGCAGUAAGCUUAGCAUUGUCCCGCUCUCACUUGAUAGUUCCUGGUAUUUUUGGCUUGGGAGGUGGACGACUGGCAUUGGCGCAGAGGAAGGUAGCAGAGACAAAUUAUUACCCAUCACCAAAUUCUUUGUAUAGUCGUGCUCAAGAUGGUCAUGCUUUUGUUUCUUCUAUACUACUUUCAGUGAUAGAAGGUGUUAUCUUGCUAGUGAGGGCUAUCUAUCUUACAAUUUUGUUCUCUCCGAGUAUAAUAAUGGCACCAUUUGCCGACUCUUGUGGCCUCAAAUUCAGGAAAAUAUGGCUUGAAGUCGUCCAUCGCACACUUGAAACGGCAGGUCCAGCAUUCAUAAAAUGGGGUCAAUGGGCAGCAACGCGACCAGAUCUCUUCCCUAAAGAUUUAUGCACCAAGCUUUCAGAGCUUCACAGCAGGGCUCCUGAACACAGCUUUGCUUUCACAAAGAAAACUAUUGAAAGAGCAUUUGGCCGUAAGCUUUCUGAAAUAUUUGACGGUUUUGAAGAGGAACCGGUGGCUUCUGGAAGUAUAGCUCAGGUGCACCGGGCUUCUUUGAGAUUCCGUUACCCUGGUAAACGGGUCAAGCCCAUGUUAGUUGCAGUAAAGGUUAGACAUCCUGGUGUUGGUGAAUCAAUUAGGAGAGAUUUUAUGAUUAUCAACUUGGCGGCGAAAUUAUCAAAGUUCAUUCCAACUCUUAACUGGUUGAGAUUGGAUGAGAGUGUCCAGCAAUUUGCUGUUUUCAUGAUGUCUCAAGUUGAUCUUGCCAGGGAAGCUGCCAAUUUGAACCGUUUUAUAUAUAAUUUCCGAAGCUGGAAAGACGUUUCUUUUCCUAAGCCUGUCUAUCCACUUGUGCACCCUGCUGUUUUAGUGGAAACAUAUGAACAAGGGGAAAGUGUUGCACGCUAUGUUGAUGAAUUUGAAGGAUAUGAUAUGGUUAAGGCCAAACUUGCUCAUAUUGGAACUCAUGCGCUUUUAAAGAUGCUUUUGGUUGACAACUUCAUUCAUGCUGACAUGCAUCCUGGAAAUAUCCUUGUUCGGGUGUCUCAUAGCAAGGCUUCUCGAAAACGGCUCUUUAAGUCAAAGCCUCAUAUCAUUUUCCUUGAUGUAGGCAUGACAGCUGAACUUUCUAAAAGUGAUCGUAUAAAUUUAUUGGAAUUUUUUAAGGCUGUUGCUCGAAGAGAUGGUCAGACUGCUGCUGAGUGUACACUUAGAUUAUCACAGCGACAAAACUGCCCGAACCCAAAGGCUUUUAUUGAGGAAGUAGAUGAAGCAUUCACUUUUUGGGGUACCCCGGAGGGUGAUCUAGUCCAUCCGGCUGAAUGCAUGGAACAACUGCUCGAGAAAGUAAGGCGUCAUAAAGUCAAUAUUGAUGGCAACGUAUGCACUGUUUUGGUCACCAUGUUGGUUCUUGAGGGUUGGCAAAGGAAACUUGAUCCAGGAUAUGAUGUAAUGGAAACACUACAGACGCUGCUACUCAAAGCAGACUGGGCAAAAUCUCUUUCCUACACCAUUGAUGGGCUGAUGGCUCCAUGAAAGAAAUCUUUAGAAAACAGUGGAAGGAAGGGCUAAACCAGAGAAAAUGAAGUGUAGAAAGCUAUUCUUUUUCUUCAAAUUAUUUGUUUAAUCACAUUGAAGCACAUUAUCUUUCUCCUUGAAUAAAAAUGGAUCACCAUUCUGGUAGGAUUCAACGGUUGAAGCUGGCUGCAGGGUUGAGGAGUCUUGACGAUAUACUGACGGGGGUGGAGCUCCGCGAUCACUUUGCUGCUCAGCGUUGGAAAAAUGAAAAGAAAUAUAUUUUCACUUUGAUUCAAUAGUACUGGAAGUUGGAAUAUCGUUCCAACGGCACCGUCAAACGCCAUGCAUCAAAAUCUAACAGCCUUUGCUGUUGCUCUUCUUCUUCCUCUUUGCUCCCAUUAACAGCCACAAAGAUUUGGCUGAUAAUCAAAACCCAAAUAAUGAAAGUUUUUCAGAUUUUUUUGGUUGAAA
RNA transcript from Gossypium arboreum, 2725 nucleotides. RefSeq lists it as uncharacterized. The record is from RefSeq and is a predicted model, not a curated record. Lineage: Eukaryota; Viridiplantae; Streptophyta; Magnoliopsida; Malvales; Malvaceae. The transcript is spliced from 7 exons.